RNAcentral lists this ribosomal RNA (253 nucleotides) under uncultured bacterium. RNAcentral describes it as "partial 16S ribosomal RNA". It matches the Rfam family "Bacterial small subunit ribosomal RNA", at positions 524 to 776 of the family's 1533-position model. The record is from RNAcentral.
UACGGAGGGGGCUAGCGUUGUUCGGAAUUACUGGGCGUAAAGCGCACGUAGGCGGCUUUGUAAGUUAGAGGUGAAAGCCCAGGGCUUAACCCUGGAAUUGCCUUUAAGACUGCAUCGCUAGAAUCGUGGAGAGGUGAGUGGAAUUCCGAGUGUAGAGGUGAAAUUCGUAGAUAUUCGGAAGAACACCAAAGGCGAAGGCAGUGUCCUGGGGAGUACCUGACGCUCAGGUGCGAAAGCCAGGGGAGCGAACGGG